AGAGUUUGAUCCUGGCUCAGAACGAACGCUGGCGGCGUGCUUAACACAUGCAAGUCGAACGAGAAAGUUUCCUUCGGGAAACGAGUAGAGUGGCGCACGGGUGAGUAACGCGUAGGUAAUCUAUCCUUAUAUUUGGGAUAACAUUGGGAAACUGGUGCUAAUACCGAAUAGUCUUCUUUGCUGCUGGGCGAAGAAGUAAAGGUGGCCUCUUCAUGAAAGCUACCGUGUAGGGAUGAGCCUGCGUACCAUUAGCUAGUAGGUGAGGUAACGGCUCACCUAGGCUACGAUGGUUAGCGGGUCUGAGAGGAUGAUCCGCCACACUGGAACUGGAACACGGACCAGACUCCUACGGGAGGCAGCAGUGAGGAAUAUUGCGCAAUGGGGGAAACCCUGACGCAGCGACGCCGCGUGAGUGAGGGAGGUCUUCGGAUCGUAAAGCUCUGUCAGAAGGGAAGAAGUGUUAUAUGGUUAACACCCAUAUAAUUUGACGGUACCUUCAGAGGAAGCACCGGCUAACUCCGUGCCAGCAGCCGCGGUAAUACGGAGGGUGCGAGCGUUGUUCGGAAUUACUGGGCGUAAAGGGCGCGUAGGCGGCCGGAUUAGUCAGAUGUGAAAGUCCACGGCUCAACCGUGGAAGUGCAUUUGAAACUGUCCGGCUUGAGUAUC
RNAcentral lists this ribosomal RNA (666 nucleotides) under uncultured bacterium. RNAcentral describes it as "bacterial SSU rRNA". It matches the Rfam family "Bacterial small subunit ribosomal RNA", at positions 8 to 650 of the family's 1533-position model. The record is from RNAcentral.